RNAcentral lists this ribosomal RNA (1117 nucleotides) under Salmonella enterica subsp. enterica serovar Typhimurium. RNAcentral describes it as "partial 23S ribosomal RNA". It matches the Rfam family "Bacterial large subunit ribosomal RNA", at positions 582 to 1616 of the family's 2925-position model. Lineage: Bacteria; Pseudomonadati; Pseudomonadota; Gammaproteobacteria; Enterobacterales; Enterobacteriaceae. The record is from RNAcentral.
GGUUUACCUGUGUGACUGCGUACCUUUUGUAUAAUGGGUCAGCGACUUAUAUUCUGUAGCAAGGUUAACCGUAUAGGGGAGCCGGAGGGAAACCGAGUCUUAAUUGGGCGUUAAGUUGCAGGGUAUAGACCCGAAACCCGGUGAUCUAGCCAUGGGCAGGUUGAAGGUUGGGUAACACUAACUGGAGGACCGAACCGACUAAUGUUGAAAAAUUAGCGGAUGACCUGUGGCUGGGGGUGAAAGGCCAAUCAAACCGGGAGAUAGCUGGUUCUCCCCGAAAGCUAUUUAGGUAGCGCCUCGUGAAUUCAUCUCCGGGGGUAGAGCACUGUUUCGGCUAGGGGGCCAUCCCGGCUUACCAACCCGAUGCAAACUGCGAAUACCGGAGAAUGUUAUCACGGGAGACACACGGCGGGUGCUAACGUCCGUCGUGAAGAGGGAAACAACCCAGACCGCCAGCUAAGGUCCCAAAGUCAUGGUUAAGUGGGAAACGAUGUGGGAAGGCCCAGACAGCCAGGAUGUUGGCUUAGAAGCAGCCAUCAUUUAAAGAAAGCGUAAUAGCUCACUGGUCGAGUCGGCCUGCGCGGAAGAUGUAACGGGGCUAAACCAUGCACCGAAGCUGCGGCAGCGAACGUAUCACCCAAGACAACUUUACGGAGUUGACGAUUGACGGAGCGAAGCGACGUCAAAGCGUUCAUUAAAGUCGAGUUGGCUUAGGGAUACGUUCGUUGGGUAGGGGAGCGUUCUGUAAGCCUGUGAAGGUGUGUCGUGAGGCAUGCUGGAGGUAUCAGAAGUGCGAAUGCUGACAUAAGUAACGAUAAAGCGGGUGAAAAGCCCGCUCGCCGGAAGACCAAGGGUUCCUGUCCAACGUUAAUCGGGGCAGGGUGAGUCGACCCCUAAGGCGAGGCCGAAAGGCGUAGUCGAUGGGAAACGGGUUAAUAUUCCCGUACUUGGUGUUACUGCGAAGGGGGGACGGAGAAGGCUAUGUUGGCCGGGCGACGGUUGUCCCGGUUUAAGCGUGUAGGUGUGUGUUCCAGGUAAAUCCGGUUCACUUUAACACUGAGGCGUGACGACGAGGCACUACGGUGCUGAAGCAACAAAUGCCCUGCUUCCAGGAAAA